GAUGAACGCUGGCGGCGUGCUUAACACAUGCAAGUCGAGCGAGAAGUUUUGAAAAGAUUCUUCGGAUGAAAUUUAAAAUGGAAAGCGGCGGACGGGUGAGUAACGCGUAGGCAACCUGCCCCAUACAAAGGGAUAGCAUUUGGAAACGAAUAUUAAUACCUUAUGAAACUUAACUAGUGCAUGCUAGGUAGGUCAAAGAUUUAUCGGUAUGGGAUGGGCCUGCGUCUGAUUAGCUAGUUGGUGAGGUAACGGCUCACCAAGGCGACGAUCAGUAGCCGACCUGAGAGGGUGAACGGCCACAUUGGAACUGAGACACGGUCCAAACUCCUACGGGAGGCAGCAGUGGGGAAUAUUGCACAAUGGGGGAAACCCUGAUGCAGCAGCGCCGCGUGAACGAUGAAGGCCUUUGGGUCGUAAAGUUCUGUUCUAGGUGAUGAAAACUGACAGUAACCGAGGAGAAAGCCCCGGCUAACUCCGUG
RNAcentral lists this ribosomal RNA (479 nucleotides) under uncultured bacterium. Its description in RNAcentral is "partial 16S ribosomal RNA". It matches the Rfam family "Bacterial small subunit ribosomal RNA", at positions 28 to 507 of the family's 1533-position model. The record is from RNAcentral.